ACCUGGGUGGCUCAGUGGUUGAGCGUCUGCCUUCAGCUCAGGGCCUGAUCCCAGAGUCGUGGGAUCGAGUCCCACAUCAGGCU
This 83-nucleotide transfer RNA is filed under the name Canis lupus dingo (dingo). It matches the Rfam family "tRNA". From Rfam's summary of the family: Transfer RNA (tRNA) molecules are approximately 80 nucleotides in length. Their secondary structure includes four short double-helical elements and three loops (D, anti-codon, and T loops). Lineage: Eukaryota; Metazoa; Chordata; Mammalia; Carnivora; Canidae. The record is from Rfam by way of RNAcentral.